This is a long non-coding RNA of Myzus persicae (green peach aphid), 1107 nucleotides long. RefSeq lists it as uncharacterized. NCBI's taxonomy places the organism in Eukaryota, Metazoa, Arthropoda, Insecta, Hemiptera, Aphididae. The record is from RefSeq and is a predicted model, not a curated record. The transcript is spliced from 2 exons.
AUUUUUGUAGUGUUUGUAAUUUUUACUUUUUAGUACCUACAGGGCUUAUAUGAAAAAAAACUUUAGGCAAAUUCACUAAGUUAUUUGAUCGAAACCAUAUAAUUUAGUAAUAAUGGUAUUCUUAACGGUAAUUUUUCGACCGUUGUCCCCUGACCUACACAUACACAUCAUAAACACCGUCGCACUCAACGUGUUUAAUAAAACAUUCGUAAUUAACUACGCAUCUCACAGAGUUUGCGAAGGGUGAAUAGCUGUAAAUAUACAGCCCGCAUAGUCACAAGCGUGCCUCACAGGCAGUGCUGGAUUGGAUGGCUAUAAUAUAAUAUAAUCAAACGCGUCCUGACUCACUGACUGAUCAACAUAAAACCUAAAUAAUGAAUUUUGUGGCUUGAGAUGUAAAUGUGUACUAAGCAAGAAUUUAAGAUGAUCGAUGAAAUCUUUUAAGUUUUUGAACACCAUUACACCGAAUAUUAAAUAAUGAUUUUACCGUUGUAAAAUCCAUGUCAAAUCCGGUCUAUGAAUCAUAAAAUAUUAUUUUGUUAGUAAAUCAUCAUGACUACAAAAACCUUACGGAAAAUCGGUCAGAAACCAAAAGCGUGUAUUCAACCCAAAAACAUGCUUAUGUUAAAAAUAAUAACAAGUAAGGUACUUAUUUGACCGAUACCAAAAAUAGUAUUUAAUCAAUGAUUUUCAAGUGGGUUUGGCCUGUAUUAGUGCUAAGGGAGGGAUACUACUGUAAUGGUGUGGAACACCAUUACAGUUUUCAUAUUUUUAUAAUUAUAAUAUUACGAAUGGUAUUAUAUACUAUACAAUUAUCAUAGAUGCGCGUGUCAUCUUUUAUCCAAUCUGUAAUAUCACGGAGUAAAGCUAUAUAUAUAUGUAUAACUAUUUUGUAUAGUAAGCAAAAUUUAUAAUAAUCGUUCGGCCUGCUUGACAUUCGUCAGCCGAACGAAGUUAGUCUCGUCUCACCACUUGCUCCGUGUAUUGUUGCUGCCAGGUCAUCGUGAAUUUGUCGGCGUAAAAGUUGGCGUAGUCGGCGUCGUCGCUGAAUGAAACUCCACACCCGUACUUGUUGCGCCGGGUGCGUCUCCAGUCGAGUCCACUGUC